Molecule: ribosomal RNA, 236 nt
Filed under: uncultured bacterium
Lineage: Bacteria
Description: partial 16S ribosomal RNA
Rfam family: Bacterial small subunit ribosomal RNA
Source: RNAcentral
GAUCAUGGCUCAGAUUGAACGCUGGCGGCAGGCCUAACACAUGCAAGUCGAGCGGGAUGAAGAGAGCUUGCUCUCUGAUUCAGCGGCGGACGGGUGAGUAAUGCCUAGGAAUCUGCCUGAUAGUGGGGGACAACGUUUCGAAAGGAACGCUAAUACCGCAUACGUCCUACGGGAGAAAGGCCAGGGGGACCUUCGGGGCCUUGUCGACUAUUCAGAUGAGCCUAGGUCGGAGUUAG